GCGGAACGGAGACAAAGCGUCCUCCCAGAGGAGGGAACAGGUGGCAUCUGUGCGUUUGAAGGGAGUCGCGGUUGAUUAUGCCCUAGAAUGGAUUAUUUCGGAAGGAAUAGCAACAAAACAUUGUGUCAAUAGCAUGAUUGUGCCAUUCUGACUUGGACCUGUGGCUUCUGAUUCAGCCUGAGAGAUAAUUCACCAGUGAUUUAUAGGGGAGGCACUGUGUAAGUUACAUAAUUGUCAUGUUUGUAUUAUUUGUAUAUUUGUUCCAUUCAUUUCAUUAGGAUCAUGAGAUAUUAUUUGCUUGCUCAGGAAAAAGUUGCAAAGGUACCAUUGAGUGUAUAAUGAAGGAUUUAUUUUAUACUCCCAUUGCUGUUUGCUCCCAUUA
Molecule: long non-coding RNA, 382 nt
Organism: Penaeus monodon (black tiger shrimp)
Lineage: Eukaryota; Metazoa; Arthropoda; Malacostraca; Decapoda; Penaeidae
Exons: 3
Source: RefSeq, a predicted model, not a curated record